AGAGUUUGAUCCUGGCUCAGGACGAACGCUGGCGGCGUGCUUAACACAUGCAAGUCGAACGCUGAAGCUUGGUGCUUGCACUGGGUGGAUGAGUGGCGAACGGGUGAGUAUCACGUGAGUAACCUGCCCCUGACUUCGGGAUAAGCCUGGGAAACUGGGUCUAAUACCGGAUAUGACCAUCUUUCGCAUGUUUGGUGGUGGAAAGUUUUUUCGGUUGGGGAUGGGCUCGCGGCCUAUCAGUUUGUUGGUGGGGUAAUGGCCUACCAAGACGACGACGGGUAGCCGGCCUGAGAGGGCGACCGGCCACACUGGGACUGAGACACGGCCCAGACUCCUACGGGAGGCAGCAGUGGGGAAUAUUGCACAAUGGGGGAAACCCUGAUGCAGCGACGCCGCGUGGGGGAUGACGGCCUUCGGGUUGUAAACCUCUUUCAGUAGGGAAGAAGCCUUUGGGUGACGGUACCUGCAGAAGAAGUACCGGCUAACUACGUG
Molecule: ribosomal RNA, 492 nt
Filed under: uncultured Brevibacterium sp.
Lineage: Bacteria; Bacillati; Actinomycetota; Actinomycetes; Micrococcales; Brevibacteriaceae
Description: bacterial SSU rRNA
Rfam family: Bacterial small subunit ribosomal RNA
Source: RNAcentral